AGUGGCUAAAGUGUUUGGCUGCUAACCAAAAGGUUGGUGGUUCGAACCCACCAGCCACUA
This 60-nucleotide transfer RNA is filed under the name Loxodonta africana (African savanna elephant). It matches the Rfam family "tRNA". Rfam says of the family: Transfer RNA (tRNA) molecules are approximately 80 nucleotides in length. The record is from Rfam by way of RNAcentral. Lineage: Eukaryota; Metazoa; Chordata; Mammalia; Proboscidea; Elephantidae.